UAUAUUCUAGUAAAUCAAGAAGAAAUUUGCUUAGUUUUAAAGAUAUUUGACUAAAUGGUUUUCAUAUUGAAACAACCAAUGAGAAUGAUAAUGAAUAUCUUCUGUGGCGACCCCAAAUCCGGAUACUUGAAACCCGAACUCGGUUCUCCACGAUACCAUUUCUUUAAGCUGAAUAAUACUAAAUAAUAAUACAUUCAAACUUAAUUUACAUACAUCAAAGUUUACUUCCCCAGGUACGUGACCUUCAAAUACAUUCCUUACAAUACCUGACAAUAGAUUCCAUUGUCUUACUAACUAUAACCAUUAACUCAUAAUAUAAACUCAUUCGAACAGCUUUCCUUUCCCCUUGUUCGUGCCUGAGCCUUCAGNNNN
Molecule: long non-coding RNA, 372 nt
Filed under: Panax ginseng (ginseng)
Lineage: Eukaryota; Viridiplantae; Streptophyta; Magnoliopsida; Apiales; Araliaceae
Description: long non-coding RNA (PGIN_LNC008685)
Source: RNAcentral